RNAcentral lists this transfer RNA (77 nucleotides) under Zetaproteobacteria bacterium CG2_30_46_52. Its description in RNAcentral is "tRNA-Arg". It matches the Rfam family "tRNA". Rfam says of the family: Transfer RNA (tRNA) molecules are approximately 80 nucleotides in length. Their secondary structure includes four short double-helical elements and three loops (D, anti-codon, and T loops). The record is from RNAcentral. RNAcentral also lists the same sequence under 1 other name. Lineage: Bacteria; Pseudomonadati; Pseudomonadota; Candidatius Mariprofundia.
GCUCCCAUAGCUCAGCUGGAUAGAGUAUCUGACUACGAAUCAGAGGGCCGGGCGUUCGAAUCGCUCUGGGAGCACCA